Molecule: ribosomal RNA, 225 nt
Filed under: uncultured bacterium
Lineage: Bacteria
Description: partial 16S ribosomal RNA
Rfam family: Bacterial small subunit ribosomal RNA
Source: RNAcentral
GACAGAGGCCUCAAGCGUUUAGGCGGAAUCACUGGGCUUAAAGCGUGUGUAGGCGGAUCGUUAAGUGUCUUGUGAAAUCCCACGGCUCACCCGUGGAACGGCUGGGCAUACUGGCGAUCGUUGGGCCAACUAGGGGCAACUGGAACAAGCGGUGGAGCGGUGAAAUGCGUAGAUAUCGCUUGGAACGCCGAAGGUGAAAACAGGUUGCUGGGGUUGUGCCGACGC